CUCUGGUGACGUCAUUGACAAGGACAUCGUCAUGGACUGGUCAAAGAGCUUCGAGAGAGUGAUGGUUAAUUUUUCGAAAGGAGAAGUCCACUAUUUCAGCUUCAUCAUUCAGCCUGAAAACUGAACUGCAUCAUAAAACUUGUGCUUGAAAAGUGUCAUGGGACCCAUUUUAAGUUCCCAACUUUGGUCUGCAGGACACAAGUAGCUUUGAAGAACAAGGAUCCCAGCUUAAAGAAAAUGUGUCACAUCCGUAAUUGUUUGACAUCAGCUUCAAGCACACCUGGAUACCUUGUUGCAAUGUCUUCAAAACAAAUGUAAAAAUGAAAGGAUUUCAGUGGUGAGCUCAUAAUGAUGGGAUCAAAAGGAAGUGAACUGGACUCUGAGGGACUUAACACAAGGCAAGUUCAUUUUAAUACAUUUUAUGUCAAGAAUAAUUGUGUGAUUUAAAUUCAUAUUUAGACAUUCUACAAAUGCUUUCUUCUUACCUCAGAUUGUGAUGGACCUAGAAUGCGACACUGUUUACGAAUAAGUCAAGAACCAAAUGAAACGCACUAUUUUCCAGAGUACAGAUUAUGGAGGGGUCUGCAAAACUAAUAGAGCAGUUUCUUCUUCUUGGAGUGCCACAGCUUAAAUCCAAAGGUCCUAACAGCUCUCCUGAUUCCGUCAAGGCUUGAAGUGUCAGCAUUACGAUGGCCAACGCUCGCUCACUAUCCUUCUGCUCCCUCAUUUAUCAGAGGCACCACAGUAGAAUGAAUUAGCAAUUACUCUUCACUUUCCAGCCGCAACCCAGCACUGGGAAACACCCAUACACUCUCUCAUACACCUGCACACAUUCACUUACUGUGGCCAAUUCACCAAUACCGUACGCAUGCCUUUGGACUGUGGGGGCAACUGGAGCACCCAGAGGAAACCCACACAAACACUGGGAGAACUUGCAAACUUCACACAGAAACACCAACUGACCCAGUCAGGACUUGAACCAGUGACCUUCUUG
Molecule: non-coding RNA, 994 nt
Organism: Danio rerio (zebrafish)
Lineage: Eukaryota; Metazoa; Chordata; Actinopteri; Cypriniformes; Danionidae
Source: Ensembl